AAGAAAGGGCCCCCAGUGAAGGUGCAGUUCCUGGGGGUCCCCACCAUCCCACUCGAUGUUCUCUCUCUUUCCUCUCGGGCGGCCUCUUCCCACUGAACGAGGAAAGGACGAUAGCAACCAUCACGGGAUGAUCAAGCUCUUUGCCCGGGGCAGACAAACGCGAGUCCAGAAGACUUGAGACCUUCUCCAGCCCCCAACCCAGAGCUCGGGGAUCCCAGAAGACCCUCCCAGGCUAGCAUCCCGGGCUUAGGCCAACGGGGCCAUAAUCAGGGAAAGGAAAUGAGAUCCAGGAAGACAGAAAUAUCUUCCCCUGUUUGGCUGCCUCGUUCCUGGGAGCUACCCAAUAAAUCUUAAAUGAAUGAAUAAUGAAUGAAUGAACCAAUGAACCAAUCAAUCCAUCCUUUCUAGCCCCC
This 413-nucleotide long non-coding RNA is filed under the name Homo sapiens (human). RNAcentral's name for it is "HSALNT0254543". The record is from RNAcentral. Lineage: Eukaryota; Metazoa; Chordata; Mammalia; Primates; Hominidae.